RNAcentral lists this non-coding RNA (30 nucleotides) under Rattus norvegicus (Norway rat). The record is from RNAcentral. Lineage: Eukaryota; Metazoa; Chordata; Mammalia; Rodentia; Muridae.
UCUCAGGUGAAAACUCAGAAGAUGGCACAC